RNAcentral lists this ribosomal RNA (377 nucleotides) under uncultured eukaryote. RNAcentral describes it as "partial 18S ribosomal RNA". It matches the Rfam family "Eukaryotic small subunit ribosomal RNA", at positions 592 to 976 of the family's 1831-position model. The record is from RNAcentral.
CAAUAGCGUAUAUUAAAGUUGUUGCAGUUAAAAAGCUCGUAGUUGGAUUUCGGGGCAGCCUGGCUGGUCCGCCGCAAGGCGAGUACUGGUCAGCCGCCCUUCCUCUCGAAAGCCCCGACUGCUCUUCGUUGCAGUGGUCGGGUAGUUCGGGACGUUUGCUUUGAAAAAAUUAGAGUGUUCAAGGCAGGCCUACGCCUGAAUACAUUAGCAUGGAAUAAUGGAAGAGGACCUCGGUCCUAUUUUGUUGGUUUCCAGGGCCGAAGUAAUGAUUAAGAGGGACAGUUGGGGGCAUUCGUAUUUAAUUGUCAGAGGUGAAAUUCUCGGAUUUAUGAAAGACGAACAACUGCGAAAGCAUUUGCCAAGGAUGUUUUCAUUAA